ACUCAAAGGAAUAGACGGGGAGGCGCACAAGCAGUGGAGCGUGUGGUUUAAUUGGAUACAAAGCCAAAAACCUCACCUGGGUUUGACAUGUACUUGCUAAUCCCUGGAAACAGGGACUCCUUCGAGGGUAGUACACAGAUGCUGCAUGGCUGUCGUCAGCUCGUGGCGUGAGCUGUACCGUUAAGUCGGGUAACGAGCGCAACCCGCACCGUAUGUUAAAUAGUUCAUACGGAACUGCCCCUUUUUAAGGGGAGGAAGGCGCGGAUGAGGUCAAGUCAGCACGGCUCUUACACCCAGGGCUACACACACCCUACAAUGGCGAAUAACAACGAGUUGCAAACCGGUAACGGCAAGCUAACCUCUGAAAUUUCGCCUCAGUUCAGAUCGAGGGCUGCAAUUCGCCCUCGUGAAGUCGGAAUUGCUAGUAAUCGCGAAUCAGCAGGUCGCGGUGAAUACGUUCUCGCCUCUUGUACACACCGCCCGU
This 484-nucleotide ribosomal RNA is filed under the name uncultured bacterium. RNAcentral describes it as "partial 16S ribosomal RNA". It matches the Rfam family "Bacterial small subunit ribosomal RNA", at positions 899 to 1397 of the family's 1533-position model. The record is from RNAcentral.